Molecule: ribosomal RNA, 365 nt
Filed under: uncultured eukaryote
Lineage: Eukaryota
Description: partial 18S ribosomal RNA
Rfam family: Eukaryotic small subunit ribosomal RNA
Source: RNAcentral
CAAUAGCGUAUAUUUAAGUUGUUGCAGUUAAAAAGCUCGUAGUCGGAUUUUGGCUGAGAACGAUCGGUCCGCCGCUAGGUGUGCACUGAUUGGUCUCAGCUUCCUGGUGAGGAGGUGUGCUUCACGGCCACUUAGUCACCGUGGUUACUUUGAAAAAAUUAGAGUGUUCAAAGCGGGCUUACGCUUGAAUAUAUUAGCAUGGAAUAACACCAUAGGACUCCUGUCCUAUUUCGUUGGUCUCGGGACGGGAGUAAUGAUUAAGAGGAACAGUUGGGGGCAUUCGUAUUUCAUUGUCAGAGGUGAAAUUCUUGGAUUUAUGAAAGACGAACUUCUGCGAAAGCAUUUGCCAAGGAUGUUUUCAUUGA